CGCUGAAGCACCUUCGGGUGUGGAUGAGUGGCGAACGGGUGAGUAACACGUGGGCAAUCUGCCCUGCACUCUGGGAUAAGCCUUGGAAACGGGGUCUAAUACCGGAUAUGACACUCCACCGCAUGGUGGGGUGUGGAAAGUUCCGGCGGUGCAGGAUGAGCCCGCGGCCUAUCAGCUUGUUGGUGGGGUAGUGGCCUACCAAGGCGACGACGGGUAGCCGGCCUGAGAGGGUGACCGGCCACACUGGGACUGAGACACGGCCCAGACUCCUACGGGAGGCAGCAGUGGGGAAUCUUGCGCAAUGGGCGAAAGCCUGACGCAGCAACGCCGCGUGGGGGAUGACGGCCUUCGGGUUGUAAACCUCUUUCGACAUCGACGAAGCCUUCGGGUGACGGUAGGUGUAGAAGAAGCACCGGCUAACUACGUGCCAGCAGCCGCGGUAAUACGUAGGGUGCGAGCGUUGUCCGGAUUUAUUGGGCGUAAAGAGCUCGUAGGCGGUCUGUCGCGUCUAUCGUGAAAACCGGGAGCUUAACUCCUGGCUUGCGGUGGAUACGGGCAGACUUGAGUUCGGUAGGGGAGACUGGAAUUCCUGGUGUAGCGGUGAAAUGCGCAGAUAUCAGGAGGAACACCGGUGGCGAAGGCGGGUCUCUGGGCCGAUACUGACGCUGAGGAGCGAAAGCGUGGGGAGCGAACAGGAUUAGAUACCCUGGUAGUCCACGCCGUAAACGUUGGGCGCUAGGUGUGGGGAUGGGUUCCACUGUUUCCGUGCCGUAGCUAACGCAUUAAGCGCCCCGCC
Molecule: ribosomal RNA, 796 nt
Filed under: Saccharopolyspora sp.
Lineage: Bacteria; Bacillati; Actinomycetota; Actinomycetes; Pseudonocardiales; Pseudonocardiaceae
Description: bacterial SSU rRNA
Rfam family: Bacterial small subunit ribosomal RNA
Source: RNAcentral